Lolium rigidum is the source of this 173-nucleotide long non-coding RNA. RefSeq lists it as uncharacterized. Lineage: Eukaryota; Viridiplantae; Streptophyta; Magnoliopsida; Poales; Poaceae. The transcript has 3 exons. The record is from RefSeq and is a predicted model, not a curated record.
CUACCUCCUCGCGGACUACAGGCCGUUCUCGGGUAGAGGUAGAUACUCGGCUCGAGGAGGCCUACGCAGUAGCUUACGAGGAGUAUCUCGAGAAGAUUAAGGAGCAUGACCUUGUGAAAGAUGCCUAUGUCCAGUGGACGAGCAACCAGAUGGCGAGUUUCACUCGGUUCAUG